CCUACGGGAUGCACCAGUGGGGAAUAUUGCACAAUGGGCGCAAGCCUGAUGCAGCCAUGCCGCGUGUGUGAAGAAGGCCUUCGGGUUGUAAAGCACUUUCAGCGGGGAGGAAGGCGGUGAGGUUAAUAACCUCAUCGAAUGACGUUACCCGCAGAAGAAGCACCGGCUAACUCCGUGCCAGCAGCCGCGGUAAUACGGAGGGUGCAAGCGUUAAUCGGAAUUACUGGGCGCAAAGCGCACGCAGGCGGUCUGUCAAGUCGGAUGUGAAAUCCCCGGGCUCAACCUGGGAACUGCAUUCGAAACUGGCAGGCUAGAGUCUUGUAGAGGGGGGUAGAAUUCCAGGUGUAGCGGUGAAAUGCGUAGAGACCUGAAGGAAUACCGGUGGCGAAGGCGGCCCCCUGGACAAAGACUGACGCUCAGGUGCGAAAGCGUGGGGAGCAAACAGGAUUAGAUACCCGUGUAGUC
Molecule: ribosomal RNA, 465 nt
Filed under: uncultured bacterium
Lineage: Bacteria
Description: bacterial SSU rRNA
Rfam family: Bacterial small subunit ribosomal RNA
Source: RNAcentral